RNAcentral lists this long non-coding RNA (2017 nucleotides) under Chloebia gouldiae (Gouldian finch). Its description in RNAcentral is "Erythrura gouldiae (Gouldian finch) lncRNA (ENSEGOG00005009505.1)". The record is from RNAcentral. Lineage: Eukaryota; Metazoa; Chordata; Aves; Passeriformes; Passeridae.
AUGCAAUCGGGAGGGGCGAGGAGCUCCGAGCCCCGGCAAAAAUGCCCCACCCAUGCCAAACUAGGACAGAGCAAAACGCUGUUCCCCAGAAAGGCACUAAACUUCACAAUUUUCACUUUCGCGGCAGCCGCAAACAGCUGCCAGGCAGCGCCAGCCCCAGGUUGGCUGGGAGGGGACGCCGAGCUGACUGGAGGCGGCGGGGCAGGGGCGCUGCUUUCCAAAGGCGGUGGAGUGGGCUCCGCCAGCAGCGGGGCGUGUGGCUGGGGGUCUGCUCCAGCAUCACAGCUUGCACUGGGAACAGGCUCUGGGCCGGCGCGAGGGCCUGGAGGCGCCUCUGUUGCUGCCGGAAGUGUGGCCACCGGCUCCAAGACCGGCUCUGGUGGGGCCGCCAGCUCCGAGACCGGCCCUGACGCGGGCCCUGGCUGCACGUCCAGAGUGGGAGGAGGUGGCAGCGGCGUCUCCUCAGCGGGUGUUUCUCUCAGCUCUGGCUGGGGCAGAGGAGGGAGCAGCACGGCUGCGGGCGGGCAGACCGGCAAGGGAGGCGUUGUCUCCGGCUCCGCUGGGGCUGGGAGCGGCUCCAUCUCCUCCGAGGGGAAAACGGGGGGCCCACGCUCUGUGAGAGGAAGUUUCCCUCGCAAGGAGGCAGAAGAACCUUUGAACGCCAGACAAAAGAUACAAAUUUUCUGUUACCCUACCCUGCCGUGAAGAAGAAAAGUCUCACCAAGACAGACUGCACUAGCAUUGACUGCUGACAAUAUGUAACUGUUUUGUUCUUCUGGAGCUGAUUUUCCUCCCUUCUCACGCAACUUGAAGCUUUUCAGCACUGCAGCACACUGAUGAACAUGUUUGCAUCUACAAAACAGUUUCUCUGCAUCUACUGGCACUGUGCAUGGAUUUGAUUUUGUUGGCCACAUAAUAUUUUUUAAAAUAUGUUCUCAAGCUGAGGAUACGGUACAAAGUCUCCCGCUUCUAGGAAAAUUUCUGGCAUAGUGGAGAUGCAAAAUUUGCUAACUCUCCCUACCUCUAAAUCUUCCAUCUUGCAAAACUACUCAAAUUAGCAAAGCUUCAGGAGGGAGAUGCAUUCUGUCCUGACUUAUAUUUAGGAGGGGAGGCUGCACACUAAUACAGGGUGUUUUUCUGGGAUUUUUAUUCAUCUCUAUGCUGUGGAUUUGAAGUCAAAAUUCUUUUCAUCCUUGGGUUUGGGGGUCUUUCUUCUAUGGCUGGCUCCACUUUGUGCUUCCUGAUAGUUUCAAAGCUGAGCAUGCUUCACAUUAGCCUGGUUCUGUGGGUGUAAACAAAGGAAUUGUUUCCUGACGCUAGGUUCAGAACUGGCUGCAUGCCUGCUGCAUCUCCCUGCAGGGAGAGGAGGGAUAAAGAGGGGUCGAGGAGAGGAGGCAGCUGGGGAGUAUGGUCAUGGUGUCCUGCUGGGCUGCCAGAGCCACCUGGAAGCAGAAGCUGGUGCUCUGGGUUCUGUGUGUGCCUCCUCAAGCUCGGCUGUCGUUUUGAGCAUGUGCUGCAUGGUUGUGGCAGGAAGCUGCUCUGAACAAAUGGCUGUGGGUGUUCUGGUUUGCUCAUUGACACGAUAAUAACUUGCUCUCCUUGUAUUAGGGGAAAAAGCCCUGAAAAUGCAGCUUUCUGGAAAUAUUUAUGCUUAUUUAUGUUAGUGUGUCAGAGUCGAUUUAAGGAGGCAAAACAAAAAUAGAAGUUCAACCUACUCUCUGGCUGUCUUGCUCACCAGUCACAUGGAGCUUAACAAUAGUCAGAUUCAGUGUGUGCCUGGUCUGGGAAAGCACCAACAGGAAAUAAGAAUGUAAUAUGAAGUAUGACAUCACCCCAUCAAGAGAACCAGCACCCCUGAUUUACUUCUCCAGUUCAAAGACAGAUAUUUACAUAUCUAAAUUGAAGCUGUGUGCCAAGAUAAGAAUUAAAUCUCUGCUACUUAACACCCUAUCUAAAACAUUAUCCACUAUUUUUUUUAGAAAAUAAAUACAUUGGCUUUGUUUUGACCUUUGUGUGA